This 301-nucleotide ribosomal RNA is filed under the name uncultured bacterium. RNAcentral's name for it is "partial 16S ribosomal RNA". It matches the Rfam family "Bacterial small subunit ribosomal RNA", at positions 509 to 807 of the family's 1533-position model. The record is from RNAcentral.
CAGUCGCCGCGGGAAUACGAAGGGGGCUAGCGUUGCUCGGAAUUACUGGGCGUAAAGGGAGCGUAGGCGGACAUUUAAGUCAGGGGUGAAAUCCCAGAGCUCAACUCUGGAACUGCCUUUGAUACUGGGUGUCUUGAGUGUGAUAGAGGUAUGUGGAACUCCGAGUGUAGAGGUGAAAUUCGUAGAUAUUCGGAAGAACACCAGUGGCGAAGGCGACAUACUGGAUCAUUACUGACGCUGAGGCUCGAAAGCGUGGGGAGCAAACAGGAUUAGAUACCCCUGUAGUCCCUGUCUCUUAUAC